RNAcentral lists this ribosomal RNA (274 nucleotides) under uncultured bacterium. RNAcentral describes it as "partial 16S ribosomal RNA". It matches the Rfam family "Bacterial small subunit ribosomal RNA", at positions 523 to 796 of the family's 1533-position model. The record is from RNAcentral.
AUACGGAGGGUGCAAGCGUUAAUCGGAAUUACUGGGCGUAAAGCGCGCGUAGGCGGUUUGAUAAGUCGGAUGUGAAAUCCCCGGGCUCAACCUGGGAAUUGCAUUCGAUACUGUCAGGCUAGAGUGUGGUAGAGGGAAGUGGAAUUUCCGUUGUAGCGGUGAAAUGCGUAGAUAUCGGAAGGAACACCAGUGGCGAAGGCGGCUUCCUGGACCAACACUGACGCUGAGGUGCGAAAGCGUGGGGAGCAAACAGGAUUAGAAACCCUAGUAGUCC